AAGGCGAUGAUGCAUAGCCGAGUUGAGAGACUGAUCGGCCACAUUGGGACUGAGACACGGCCCAAACUCCUACGGGAGGGCGAGCAGUAGGGAAUCUUCCACAAUGGACGCAAGUCUGAUGGAGCAACGCCGCGUGAGUGAAGAAGGUUUUCGGAUCGUAAAGCUCUGUUGUUGGUGAAGAAGGAUAGAGGUAGUAACUGGCCUUUAUUUUGACGGUAAUCAACCAGAAAAGUCACGGGCUAACUACGUGCCAGCAGCCGCGGUAAAU
This 268-nucleotide ribosomal RNA is filed under the name uncultured Lactobacillus sp. Its description in RNAcentral is "partial 16S ribosomal RNA". It matches the Rfam family "Bacterial small subunit ribosomal RNA", at positions 270 to 525 of the family's 1533-position model. The record is from RNAcentral. Lineage: Bacteria; Bacillati; Bacillota; Bacilli; Lactobacillales; Lactobacillaceae.